AGCAUAUCAAUAAGCGGAGGAAAAGAAACUAACAAGGAUUCCCCUAGUAACUGCGAGUGAAGCGGGAAAAGCUCAAAUUUAAAAUCUGGCGGUCUCUGGCCGUCCGAGUUGUAAUCUAGAGAAGUGUUAUCCGCGUUGGACCGUGUACAAGUCUCCUGGAAUGGAGCGUCAUAGAGGGUGAGAAUCCCGUCUUUGACACGGACUGCCAAGGCUUUGUGAUGCGCUCUCAAAGAGUCGAGUUGUUUGGGAAUGCAGCUCAAAAUGGGUGGUAAAUUCCAUCUAAAGCUAAAUAUUGGCGAGAGACCGAUAGCGAACAAGUACCGUGAGGGAAAGAUGAAAAGAACUUUGGAAAGAGAGUUAAACAGUACGUGAAAUUGCUGAAAGGGAAACGCUUGAAGUCAGUCGCGUUGGCCGAGGAUCAACCUUGCUUUUGCUGGGCGUACUUCUCGGUCGACGGGUCAGCAUCAAUUUUGACCGGUGGAUAAAGGCUAGGGGAAUGUGGCAUCUUCGGAUGUGUUAUAGCCCUUGGUCGCAUACAUCGGUUGGGAUUGAGGAACUCAGCACGCCGCAAGGCCGGGUUUUUAACCACGUACGUGCUUAGGAUGCUGGCAUAAUGGCUUUAAUCGACCCGUCUUGAAACACGGACCAAGGAGUCUAACAUGCCUGCGAGUGUUUGGGUGGAAAACCCGAGCGCGUAAUGAAAGUGAAAGUUGAGAUCCCUGUCGUGGGGAGCAUCGACGCCCGGACCAGACCUUUUGUGACGGUUCCGCGGUAGAGCAUGUAUGUUGGGACCCGAAAGAUGGUGAACUAUGCCUGAAUAGGGUGAAGCCAGAGGAAACUCUGGUGGAGGCUCGUAGCGAUUCUGACGUGCAAAUCGAUCGUCAAAUUUGGGUAUAGGGGCGAAAGACUAAUCGAACCAUCUAGUAGCUGGUUCCUG
RNAcentral lists this ribosomal RNA (937 nucleotides) under Crassisporium funariophilum. Its description in RNAcentral is "partial large subunit ribosomal RNA". It matches the Rfam family "Eukaryotic large subunit ribosomal RNA", at positions 37 to 960 of the family's 3401-position model. Lineage: Eukaryota; Fungi; Basidiomycota; Agaricomycetes; Agaricales; Crassisporiaceae. The record is from RNAcentral.